UACGUAGGGGGCAAGCGUUGUCCGGAUUUAUUGGGCGUAAAGAGCGUGUAGGCGGCCAUACAGGUCAGCUGUGAAAACUCGAGGCUCAACCUCGAGACGUCGGUUGAAACCGUAUGGCUAGAGUCCGGAAGAGGAGAGUGGAAUUCCCGGUGUAGCGGUGAAAUGCGCAGAUAUCGGGAAGAACACCCGUGGCGAAGGCGGCUCUCUGGGACGGUACUGACGCUGAGACGCGAAAGCGUGGGGGAGCAAACAGGG
RNAcentral lists this ribosomal RNA (255 nucleotides) under uncultured bacterium. RNAcentral describes it as "partial 16S ribosomal RNA". It matches the Rfam family "Bacterial small subunit ribosomal RNA", at positions 524 to 777 of the family's 1533-position model. The record is from RNAcentral.